CACGUAGGUGGCAAGCGUUGUCCGGAUUUACUGGGCGUAAAGAGCGCGCAGGCGGCCGGCCAAGUCGGAUGUGAAAGCCCCCGGCCCAACUGGGGAGGGUCAUUCGAUACUGGUCGACUCGAAGGCAGGAGAGGGAAGCGGAAUUCCCGGUGUAGUGGUGAAAUGCGUAGAUAUCGGGAGGAACACCAGUGGCGAAGGCGGCUUCCUGGCCUGUUCUUGACGCUGAGGCGCGAAAGCUAGGGGAGCGAACGGG
Molecule: ribosomal RNA, 253 nt
Filed under: uncultured bacterium
Lineage: Bacteria
Description: partial 16S ribosomal RNA
Rfam family: Bacterial small subunit ribosomal RNA
Source: RNAcentral